Molecule: signal recognition particle RNA, 299 nt
Filed under: Cebus imitator (Panamanian white-faced capuchin)
Lineage: Eukaryota; Metazoa; Chordata; Mammalia; Primates; Cebidae
Description: Metazoan signal recognition particle RNA (ENSCCAG00000010906.1)
Rfam family: Metazoan signal recognition particle RNA
About the family: The signal recognition particle (SRP) is a universally conserved ribonucleoprotein.
Source: RNAcentral
CCUGGGCACAGUGGCGUGUGCCUAUAGUCCCAGCUACUCGGGAGGCUGAGGUGGGAGGAUCACUUGAGCCCAGGACUUCUGGGCAGUAGUGCACUAUGCUGAUCGGGUGUCCACACUAAGUUCGGCAUCAAUAUGGUGACCUCCUGGGAGCGGGGGACCACCAGGUUGCCUAAGGAGUGGUGAACCGGCCCAGGUCGGAAACGGAGCAGGUUAAAACUCCCAUGCUGAUCAGUAGUGGGAUCUUGCCUGUGAAUAGCCGCUGCACUCCAGCCUGGGCAACAUAGUGAGACCCCGACUCU